This 1050-nucleotide long non-coding RNA is filed under the name Homo sapiens (human). RNAcentral describes it as "HSALNT0378503". Lineage: Eukaryota; Metazoa; Chordata; Mammalia; Primates; Hominidae. The record is from RNAcentral.
GCUUGAAGGCAGUAUGCUUGGUAAAAGUCAUCGCCAUUCUCUAAUCUUGAGUACCCAGGGACACGAUACACUGCGGAAGGCUGCAGGGACCUCUGCCCAGGAAAGCCAGGCUUGCAUGAAGGAAAUGAUUUCCUAUGAUUCUGCUUACUGCUUAAAAAAAUUAAUCAAGUUUUCUGCCUGACAAGAUCCAGUAUCUGCCGGAGGAGCCCCACCUUCUGCUACUAUUAUGUUCUUCAGAUGAGUAGAAGAGAGUGGGGAGGGAGAGAGCAGGAAGAAGAAAGGAAGAAUAAUGUCUUGAAAUUGUUUUCUAAGGAUAAUGGUCUCCAGCUUCGUCAAUGUUCCUGCAAAGGACAUGAUGCUGACUUUGAAGAUGCAAGCUUCCACAUCUACAGCCUCAAGGAAACAAAUUCAGCCAACCAACUGAGGGAGCUUUCCUUGUCCUGCCUCAAGAUGAGAUCACAGUCUGCCCAACACCAUGAUUUAGGCCUUGUGACACCUGGUAUGGAAGACCCAAGCUCAGAUGGAAAAGAAUGGUGUUACUGAGACCCUUCAAGAUUCCCAGUGUAAUUCAAUAAAGAAAAGGCAACACAAAGGGGUUGUAUAGAAUUCGCCACAUUAUGGACCCAUGUCAUAGAGAGAAUCCACGGUGCAUUUGUUAGCUGCAUUUAAAUGACAACACUUUCAGAUCCAAGAUUUAUUUGGGAUAAAAAUUUACCUGGAUGCAAGGCUAUUCAGAAUGAAGAUUAAUGAUAUGGUUUGGCUGUGUCCCCACCCAAACUUCAUCUUGAAUUCCCACGUGUUGUGAGAGGGACCUGGUGGGAGAUAAUUGAACCAUGGGGGCAGGUCUUUCUCAUGCUGUUCUCAUGAGAGUGAAUAAGUCUCAUGAAACCUGAUGGUUUUAUAAGGGGGAAUUUCCCUGCACAAGCUCUCUCUCUGCCUUUUGCCAUCCAUGUAAGACGUGACUUGGUCCUCCUUGCCUUCUACCAUGAUUAUGAGGCCUCCCCAGCCACGUGGAACUGUGAGUCCAUUAAACCUCUUUCUUUUGUAAAU